UCGGAUCGUCGCAUCCUGGGGCUGUAGUAGGUCCCAAGGGUUGGGCUGUUCGCCCAUUAAAGCGGUACGCGAUCUGGGUUCAGAACGUCGUGAGACAGUUCGGUCCCUAUCCGCCGUGGGCGUUAGAGAUUUGAGGAGUGUCGACCCUAGUACGAGAGGACCGGGUUGAACGAACCUCUGGUGAACCGGUUGUCCCGCCAGGGGCAUAGCCGGGUAGCUAUGUUCGGACCAGAUAAGUGCUGAAAGCAUAUAAGCACGAAACUGACUUCAAGAUGAGAUCUCGAACUCGUAAGAGUGAAGGGUCCUGGGAGACUACCAGGUUGAUAGGCCGGGGGUGGAAGCACUGCAAGGUGUGGAGCUGACCGGUACUAAUAGCCCAGAAAUUUUUGAUUC
This is a ribosomal RNA of 393 nucleotides. It matches the Rfam family "Bacterial large subunit ribosomal RNA", at positions 2532 to 2925 of the family's 2925-position model.